Molecule: long non-coding RNA, 456 nt
Organism: Schistocerca serialis cubense
Lineage: Eukaryota; Metazoa; Arthropoda; Insecta; Orthoptera; Acrididae
Exons: 2
Source: RefSeq, a predicted model, not a curated record
GCUUAAAUUUUUCUUUAGGACGAGAAGACCCUAUAGAGCUUAAGAUUUUAUUUUUAUAUAGUUUUUUGUUUGUCUUUCUAUAUUUAAUGAUGAUGUUUUGUUGGGGUGACAUGAAGAAUAAAUAAGCUCUUCAUUAUAAAAUCAUUUAUUUAUGUUUGUUGUUUUGAUCCAUAAUUUAUGAUCAUAAGAUUAAGUUACCUUAGGGAUAACAGCGUAAUUGUUUUUGAGAGCUCAUAUCGACAAAGCAGAUUGCGACCUCGAUGUUGGAUUAAGAAAAAUUUUGGGUGCAGUGGACCAGUAACUAGGUCUGUUCGAACUUUAAAUUCUUACAUGAUCUGAGUUCAGACCGGCGUGAGCCAGGUCGGUUUCUAUCCUAAGAUUAUUAAUUCAUAUUAUUACGAAAGGACCAUAUGGUUGAAAUAUAUUUUAUGUUAUUGAUUAAUACUAAUUAAAUUA